AGCAAUCGAAGCAGUGAACUUAAGCCCCAGUAAACGGCGGCCGUAACUAUAACGGUCCUAAGGUAGCGAAAUUCCUUGUCGGGUAAGUUCCGACCCGCACGAAAGGCGUAACGAUUUGGGCACUGUCCCAACAACAGACUCGGUGAAAUUGUAAUUCCGGUGAAGAUGCCGGAUACCUGCGACAGGACGGAAAGACCCCAUGG
Molecule: ribosomal RNA, 203 nt
Filed under: Clostridioides difficile
Lineage: Bacteria; Bacillati; Bacillota; Clostridia; Peptostreptococcales; Peptostreptococcaceae
Description: partial 23S ribosomal RNA
Rfam family: Bacterial large subunit ribosomal RNA
Source: RNAcentral